This is a long non-coding RNA of Vespula vulgaris, 2332 nucleotides long. RefSeq lists it as uncharacterized. The transcript has 3 exons. The record is from RefSeq and is a predicted model, not a curated record. NCBI's taxonomy places the organism in Eukaryota, Metazoa, Arthropoda, Insecta, Hymenoptera, Vespidae.
CAGAUAUGCAACGAUAAACGAUUGAUACCAACUUCCAACGUGCUUUGAAUACCUUUCCUUUCCUUCGCUGAAUCUUCGACUAUAUUUGCUUCCUUCGUCGAAAAUAAAGUUCCACUUUGAAGCUUUGUCAUUUUGAAAUUGGUACCAUCGAACCGUUGAUAAAAAUCUAAUAAUUCCAAAAUUGGAGCGAGAUUGAAUUGAAUGAUUCGACACACUGAUUUAUGGUGAACGGUAUCAGAUACCUUAGUCUAGCCUACUGAGAAUGUUCCGGUAUUCUUGGAGCCAAUACGUUUGCGAAACGCGAGCCGAUAACGAAUUAGAAUCGGCACCUUUAUUAUCCUCGUCUUGAUCCGAGACACAUCGUAGAAAAAACAUUGAGACGUUGGCGAUCAUACGAAAUAAGGAAAAGAAGAAUUGUCGCAAAGAUCAAGAGAUAGAUCGUUUGAUAAAAUAAAAAUAUAUUCGUUAUGAAUCAAUUUUAUUUCAUCAAAUUGGAUUUUUAUAAUUAAUCAUUUGCAGUCUGAGUUAUUCUCGCUGUUUCGUUUCUGCCAAUCCGUGCUGAAUCAACCACGUUCGGUCAGUAUCAAGUAAUUAGCCGUUAUUUCAAUAUUUUAACGUUGAACUAAUAGGGGAAAAUUACCUAUAUCAGAGCAUUUUUGCUGUAUUUCACCUAUAUUUUUAUCACGUAUUCAAUGGAAACAAGUUUUGUAACAUAUUCAGCAUUUGAUGUACUUUCAUCAGAUAAUAUAUUUUUAAAUAUAUUACCGCUAUUAUAUAUAAAAUGGGACAAUAUAGAUUAUGUAAAUAGUUCAAAGAGACAAACAGAUUGGGUUUCUCAGCCUUCGAAGUUGAAUCUGAGGAAGAAACCUAUAAAUAACAAUAAUUACAGCAAACCAAUAAAAAGAUAAAUAAAGAAAAAUUUUUAUAAGAAAACCUUGUAAAACACAACGACGGCUAAACUACUUGAUAUAAUGGUCGAAGCUCGCUAUCCGCCGAGUCAUGUUUUCACAGACCUGUUAUUUAUCAGUAAGGCCAAUUGCAUUUCUUAAAAUAUUUGUAAUUAAGGAAAAACAAAAGCAACCCAAUUUAGGCAACGCUCCACUUUCGGUUUCCUAUCUUACGACAACAUAUUUAUAAAUAUACAUAGAUAUAUUUAUAUUUAAUAUCAACAAUUCGAGCAAACAACUCAACAUAAAAUUCGCGAAAAUGUGAUACUAACGAAAUGUGAUGUCAAGUCAAACUCGGCAUAGGUCCGCAAAAGAUUAAACAAUGAUAGAUACCUAAUUAAGGAAUAAUUUUUAUAUAAUUCUCAUAACUACUUACUUAUAUUUGUAAAAUAUUGAUAUUGUACAAUAAAUAUUAUAUACCUAAUACUAAAAUAAAUAAAAUAAUAUCUAUAAGAAAAAGAAGAGAGAGGAAAAGAAAAAGAUAAAUAACAUUGGUGCGAGAUAUCGAAUUCCGUGGGAACUUUUUAUGGUUAAUAGUUCCAAUCAGUUAUCAAUGGAAAUGCAAAGAAGAAAUAUGCGAAAUUCGUCAAAGAAAAAGAAAAAGAAGGAGACAGAAGAUAAAAAAAGAAGUAGGAAAGAAGAUAGAAGAGUGGAAAAGAGAUGGACGAAAACGGAAGUCGAGAAUGCGAAGUAGUGAUGGGUCACUUCCGGUCCCGGUCCUCGGAUCGAGCGUACUCUCUCGUUAUCUCUUUUUCUUUUUUUCUUUUCACUUCGACUGCUCGCUCGGUAGUUCUGAUCACUGUCCGCCGGCAUCGCUCGUCUCUCAUCAUUCCAUUAAGCCUAUGCAAAACGUGCAUUCUCUUUUACGACCAACGGAUUUAGAUAUAUCUUAAAAUACCUCAACAAAAUUAAUAUAUAGAAAUUAAAUACAAAGAAAUUAAUUUUUUGAUAUGGUUCCUUCAGAAGAAUAUCGAGCUAAUUAUAUUCACGUUAAUAACGAGUCAUUUUCUUCGAUCAUGCUGAUCGAAUCAUAUUUACUACAAUAAUUAUGGCAAGAAACAAAUAUGGCGUUUCCAAGGAUAUCGAUGUACCUUUUUCAUUACGGUAUAAUUAAAAAACGGCAAAUAGAAAUCGUUGAGUUAGAGGAUAACUAGCAAUUAGAAUACUUUUGUAAACGUAAAAAAUGGAUAUUUUCUUUCUACUUUCUCCUUUUAUCUUUUUCCCUUUUUUUCCCUUACUCUUUGGUUUUCUCUUCGCCGCAACAAGAAACGUAUCGUAGAUGCCGAAAGAGAGAAAGAGAGAGAAAGAUAAAGACUAGGGUGCCAAUCACGGAAGCGUAACAAUGGCUUUUCGAGCGAUUCGACCAACCAGACGACUGGCUGACG